Molecule: long non-coding RNA, 468 nt
Organism: Triticum aestivum (bread wheat)
Lineage: Eukaryota; Viridiplantae; Streptophyta; Magnoliopsida; Poales; Poaceae
Exons: 2
Source: RefSeq, a predicted model, not a curated record
GAGAUUUUUCAAGACCUUGCUCCACUGCUGUGGCACUCCUUUGGCACUGUUGCUGCACUGCUCCAGCUCACAUCCCACUGUACCUGUACCCGUUCCUGAAUACUACCAGCAAGACAAGACCUUUUGAGUACUUGAGGCUUACCAGCUUGGGUGUUAUUGGUGCUCUUGUGAAGGUAAAUUAAAACUAGAUACUUAUGCAAACUAGGAAUGGAUGGUCCAUAUAGAUUUUUGCUUUAAAUGGUGAGAGGGUUGAACCAGAGGGGAAAACAGUGAUGGGGAUUGGCUGUAUUCUUUCUUUUUUUUGUAGACUAUAUCUUGUUCUUUUGGUAUUCUCAUUCCAGUAAUCCAGUCAUUUUAAUCAAAUGGACUGGUUGGGAUUGGAUCCCAGGAAUCUCAACAGGAACUGUUAUUUUUGAAGCAAACAGGCUAAUGAUUUGUUAGAAAUUAUAUUGUUUCUUCUUUUGGAUA